This 67-nucleotide non-coding RNA is filed under the name unclassified sequences. Its description in RNAcentral is "S15-Flavobacteria ribosomal protein leader". It matches the Rfam family "S15-Flavobacteria ribosomal protein leader". The record is from RNAcentral.
UAUAUUUUGCCGCGCUAAUUAAAAAUUAAUUAGCUACAUAAUAAUCAUUUAUAACAAUAUUGGCAUG